CAAGAUCUCCCAGCUCCAGAGGACAUAUUUACAUCUCAAGGCAUCUCUUCCUGCAUUGGAUGCAUCUCAAAAUCCCAUAAGGUAUGAAAAGCCCGCAACCUUAGUCUCAUUUUCCGGGGAUGACAACCAAAGCAAGUGGCAGUACAUCACGUUCGCUCUUGGAGGACUAUUCCUGAUGAUAACAAUGGUGGCCAGAGAUGUCAAAUUACCAGACCUCUUUCCCAGAAUCUCUUUACAGCACAGCAGAAACAGUAAUCGUUCAUAUUUAUUGAGCGCUCCCUAGGGGCUUCACAUUUAUUGAAGUAGAUGCGAUCGUCCUUGUUGUCAAGGUAAAGGAACUGGGGCUCGGGAAGAUUAAGUAAGCUGCCUACAAUCACAUGGUUAGUAAAUGGUUGAGUCAGCAUAUGAACUCAAGCGGUCUGACUCCAAGGUCACGCCCCAGACUAGAAAGCUACAUGUCUGUUCAUCCAUUUUUUAAGAAAAAAAAAAAAAAAAAAAAAAAAAAAAAACUCCAUUAGAGUCAAUUGGCCAGACUCUUAGACUUUGCUCUGUUCUAAUCUGACCCCCAUGUGUCACACUUGUGAGUCUGAGAGUAAACAUCCCACGCUCACCAUGCACGGAAGUGGCUCUUCACAAAUAUUUUUGGCUCAGAGUGAAAAGGUGCAAGAACUCAAAGGAGAGGGUGCCCAAGUUCAUUCCCUAGGCCCAGAUGGCUAACAGACCUGGGGUAAACACUCAGCUCGGAAACGCUCACAAAACUCCCAGCCUUAGCUCACCUCGGCCUGAGUGUGCCAGGCUAACAAACGUAGUAGCCUGGGAAACGUCCAGGAUCUAAUCAGUUCAUGCUGAAACCAAAGUCGACUUCCUUCUGCAGCGUGUGUCUGUGCCAUGUUGGUCUGCACAGCCCUGCAGACACCCACACGUGGCAGGAAACCCAACAGCCUAGGCUAGCAACGUCACUGUCAAAGUAGUGUUCAGAGGCUGGCGAGGCAAGGCAGGUCAGACAAGAUCUUAUGAAUAACAUAGGAUCAAAGGUUUGAUAGGACUUGGUAUCAUUCAGAUGACACCCACAGACAUAGGAAAGGUGUUAUGCUCACAUAGGCAACCUGGGGCAAGCUGAUGAGGGCAAGGAAGUUGGUAAUUAGCAGCCUCGCCAUCUCUCAGUGCCCCUUCUUCUCUUGGAAAGUCUGCUUCAGACAUGCACUGCCCUCAACUCUACCAUUUGUCCCCAGAACUGGGGCCUCUCCAGGGUCUUCCACACAACUCUGUCCUGCAGGGACAGCGAAUGUCCCUCGAUGUGUGUGUGUGUGUGUGUGUGUGUGUGUGUGUGUGUGUAACUGGUAGUGACCACCGAUCUAAAAAUGCACUAUUUAAAAAACGACUUCAGUGAAUUUUGAUUCCUACAUUUGCAAAACAGCACAUCUGUUAUUCAAAAUAUUUAAAUAUAUGAUAUAUUCAGGCCACAGACACGUGUGUAUGUUUACAGACUCCUUGCAAUAACUCUGAGGCUCCCCACAAGCUAUUCCUGCCCGGGGGGCUGGGGACUGUAAACCUAAGCGACCUAUUGCAACCUGUAUUUGGUUCUCAUUUCCUCCUCCUCCUCCUCCCUCCUCCCCCGCCUCUGAUUCUCGGGGAAGAAGAUGCCGAGACAGAACGAGGAGUACAUAAGGUUUUGGGGGGAGUAACACCUGGGAGGAAAUGUGAGGAAGCAAGAAUGGUCAUGAGGAAGGCACCCGAUCAGGAUACGGAGCAAGAUCACCUGUUAGAUCCGAGUCCUCAUCAGGAGGAAACGGCCAGGUCUUUGUUCCAUGGCCUUGUCACUUACUGGCUAGUGCCACUCAGAACCGUGUGUGACUUCGGCUCAAAAGUUGCUCACAGAGGAGGCUGUGAGCUGGCUACCGUCUCCAUCGCUGGGCAGGGAGUCCCAUCUUACAGGGGUAGCUGGGUAGUGUAUCUGUAUCUGCCACGCCCCACCUUCCCCCUGAGUCUGUGAGGCGAUUUUACCCUUCGUGGUUCUUCAUGAAGACAACAGAACUCUAUAAAUGACAGUGUGUGAAUUGCCCUUGGGAAAUAGGCCAUCUCUCAACCAGCAAAAUUAGAAAGAAAGUUAUAACCGUACGUCAGUAUAGUUGAAUCAGCUAAAAGGUGAGGUGCCCCUAGGAUAUGGGACGGCGUUUCAUUUAAGCAGAAUCUCCUUCUGCAGAGGGAGCGCCCUGCGAAUCUGAAAUAAGAUCAGAGAAGGGCUUGCUGCAGCAGUCUGGCCAUCCUCUGCCGAUGAACGUGAACCCCCGUGAAUAGAUCUGAGGAUCAACAGCCAUCAAUAACCACAACUCCUCUCAUCUCCCUGGAGACCACAGACCAUACAGGUACCUCUCUGUUUUGUUUUCUAAAGGCCACGACUUAACUGUGCCAUGGGGAAUGGAGGGUUAAGUCACCUCUUCUGUGUUGUAUGAUCCUGAGUCCUUGAGCAUAAGAAACAGAAAUCAAGUCUGGAGUAACUGAAACAGAAACGACAUUUGUCGACAGGGUUUAGCGACGUUCACAGAACAGACAGGAAGGCAGGAGAGGGAGGCUUGGGAAAAAGCAGAAACUAGAGCAGGUCUGAGGAUCCAGGGAACAGUAAGCACCAACGAGAUCAUGUCUUAGGAAGAACUCGUUCAAGACAUGUUGUGGCUACUACCGGUGGUCUAGCUGACCUCCUUCUGCUGUUACAACUAUUUCUGCUGAUUAAAGUCUUUGUGUCCCUCCAUCCUACGCCAUGAUCAAGAGACUCCGUGUCCUGCAAAGGAGCAUCUGAUUGGAUAAGCGGAGGUUACAGCCCACGCUGCCAGAACUCAGAAGUUCCCUCUUCAGGCUUCUAUAGGAGGAGGCUCUUCCCAAAUCCAGAGGACAUGGGCCUUCUGCUGAAGAAAGCUCACAACAUCAAAGGAGGGAAAAUGAUAAACUAUGUGAGUAAGUAAAUGCCAUUAGAGAGAAUCAUCAGGUACCAUAAACAAAAGGGUUAGCACCCGAGGUGCUGAACUUGAUAGAACAAUCUAGAAGAGACAACAAAAUCAUCAUGGUUCAAGUAACUAAGGAGUUUUAAGAACGGAGGAAGGAGGGGUGCCUAGGUGGCUCAGUAGGUUAAAUGUCUGACCCUUGAUAUCCGCCCAGGUCAGGAUCUUGCAGUCAUGGGACCACACUCGAUGCUGAGCGCGGGGCCUGUUUAACAUUCUCCCUCUCCCUCUCUUUGUGUCCCUCCCCUGCUUAUUCUCUCUCCCUCUCUUUUCUCUCUCUCUCCCUCUCCAAAAUAAAUAAAUGUUUUAAAAGGGAGGAAAUAAGAUCUAUAGUGAGAGCAGAGGAAAAUACAGCAAAAGAAAAGACAGAUUUGCAAAAGAAUCGAAAGAAAAUGCAGUCAAUAAAAUAAAGAAUUAACAGGAUAGUAGAGCUGCUGAGAAAAUUGGUGAACUGGAAGACAGAACUGAGGAAACUCUCUAGACUGUAUCACAGAAAGCAGAUGGCAAAUACAAAUGGCCGGAUAGAAAAUAUGAAAGCUAGAUUGAGAAAAUCCAGCAGAUAUAAAAUCAGGCUGCCAUGAUGCACAAUUCUAAAGUCUA
This is a long non-coding RNA of Leopardus geoffroyi (Geoffroy's cat), 3596 nucleotides long. RefSeq lists it as uncharacterized. Lineage: Eukaryota; Metazoa; Chordata; Mammalia; Carnivora; Felidae. The transcript has 3 exons. The record is from RefSeq and is a predicted model, not a curated record.